AUGAUCGACAUCAUGUUUGAAAGUGGAGCGGCUCCUGAGCUCAAGAAGAUUGCCUUGUCCUUGACCAACGAAAAGUCCCAGCUCGAUGGGGUUGGUGGCCUUAAAAAAUUGAAAGAGAUUGAAUUGAAGGGUGGAAAAUUCCUUCUUUCAUCAUUUCACAAUGCCAAUCAAAUUUCCAAGGUGACUCUUCGUGAUACUCAACUGAAGCAGGAAGAUAUACGGAUCCUUGCUAAGAAAAAAAAACCUACGCUGCCUAGAGCUCUCAGACUUGUCUUACGCCGAAAGCAAGCUAGCCUUCAACAAAGAUGA
Molecule: ribosomal RNA, 309 nt
Filed under: Triticum aestivum (bread wheat)
Lineage: Eukaryota; Viridiplantae; Streptophyta; Magnoliopsida; Poales; Poaceae
Description: partial small subunit ribosomal RNA
Source: RNAcentral